Molecule: ribosomal RNA, 484 nt
Filed under: uncultured bacterium
Lineage: Bacteria
Description: partial 16S ribosomal RNA
Rfam family: Bacterial small subunit ribosomal RNA
Source: RNAcentral
AUUGAACGCUGGCGGCAGGCCUAACACAUGCAAGUCGAGCGGAUGAAGGGAGCUUGCUCCUGGAUUCAGCGGCGGACGGGUGAGUAAUGCCUAGGAAUCUGCCUGGUCGUGGGGGAUAACGUCCGGAAACGGGCGCUAAUACCGCAUACGUCCUGAGGGAGAAAGUGGGGGAUCUUCGGACCUCACGCUAUCAGAUGAGCCUAGGUCGGAUUAGCUAGUUGGUUGGGUAAAGGCCUACCAAGGCGACGAUCCGUAACUGGUCUGAGAGGAUGAUCAGUCACACUGGAACUGAGACACGGUCCAGACUCCUACGGGAGGCAGCAGUGGGGAAUAUUGGACAAUGGGCGAAAGCCUGAUCCAGCCAUGCCGCGUGUGUGAAGAAGGUCUUCGGAUUGUAAAGCACUUUAAGUUGGGAGGAAGGGCAGUAAGUUAAUACCUUGCUGUUUUGACGGUACCAACAGAAUAAGCAACGGCUAACUUCGUG